CCUACGGGAGGCUGCAGUGAGGAAUAUUGGUCAAUGGACGAGAGUCUGAACCAGCCAAGUAGCGUGAAGGAUGACUGCCCUAUGGGUUGUAAACUUCUUUUAUAUGGGAAUAAAAUGUUCCACGUGUGGGAUUUUGUAUGUACCAUAUGAAUAAGGAUCGGCUAACUCCGUGCCAGCAGCCGCGGUAAUACGGAGGAUCCGAGCGUUAUCCGGAUUUAUUGGGUUUAAAGGGAGCGUAGGUGGAUUGUUAAGUCAGUUGUGAAAGUUUGCUGCUUAACCGUAAAAUUGCAGUUGAAACUGGCAGUCUUGAGUACAGUAGAGGUGGGCGGAAUUCGUGGUGUAGCGGUGAAAUGCUUAGAUAUCACGAAGAACUCCGAUUGCGAAGGCAGUUCACUGGACUGCAACUGACACUGAGGCUCGAAAGUGUGGGUAUCAAACAGGAUUAGAUACCCUAGUAGUC
RNAcentral lists this ribosomal RNA (460 nucleotides) under uncultured bacterium. RNAcentral describes it as "partial 16S ribosomal RNA". It matches the Rfam family "Bacterial small subunit ribosomal RNA", at positions 338 to 795 of the family's 1533-position model. The record is from RNAcentral.